GAUGGUACCGUCAAAUACCACAGAUAUUAACCAUGAUACACUUCUUCCCAUCUGACAGGAUUUACAACCGAAGGCCUUCAUCAUCCACGCGGCGUCGCUGCGUCAGGGUUGCCCCCAUUGCGCAAUAUUCCUC
Molecule: ribosomal RNA, 133 nt
Filed under: uncultured bacterium
Lineage: Bacteria
Description: partial 16S ribosomal RNA
Source: RNAcentral